UUUUGAGACUUGUGCAAUGGGUUUUUUGAAUAAUGCUUCAGGGUGGGAACACAGCAGAGCCUUCAAAAUAUUUAUGUGCCGCAAGUAUCUUAAGAAGG
Molecule: non-coding RNA, 98 nt
Organism: Helicobacter canadensis MIT 98-5491
Lineage: Bacteria; Pseudomonadati; Campylobacterota; Epsilonproteobacteria; Campylobacterales; Helicobacteraceae
Rfam family: Bacterial small signal recognition particle RNA
About the family: The signal recognition particle (SRP) is a universally conserved ribonucleoprotein involved in the co-translational targeting of proteins to membranes. Archaeal SRP consists of a 7S RNA and homologues of the eukaryotic SRP19 and SRP54 proteins. In most bacteria, the SRP consists of a 4.5S RNA and the Ffh protein (a homologue of the eukaryotic SRP54 protein).
Source: Rfam